AAUAGAUACCCGGGUAGUCCACGCCGUAAACGUUGGGCGCUAGAUGUGGGGGCCAUUCCACGGUUUCCGCGUCGUAGCUAACGCAUUAAGCGCCCCGCCUGGGGAGUACGGCCGCAAGGCUAAAACUCAAAGGAAUUGACGGGGGCCCGCACAAGCGGCGGAGCAUGCGGAUUAAUUCGAUGCAACGCGAAGAACCUUACCAAGGCUUGACAUAUACGAGAACACUGCAGAAAUGUAGGACUCUUUGGACACUCGUAUACAGGUGGUGCAUGGUUGUCGUCAGCUCGUGUCGUGAGAUGUUGGGUUAAGUCCCGCAACGAGCGCAACCCUCGUCGCAUGUUGCCAGCACGUAAAGGUGGGAACUCAUGUGAGACUGCCGGGGUCAACUCGGAGGAAGGUGGGGAUGACGUCAAAUCAUCAUGCCCCUUAUGUCUUGGGCUUCACGCAUGCUACAAUGGCCGGUACAAAGGGCUGCAAUACCGUAAGGUGAGCGAAUCCAAAAGCCGGUCUCAGUUCGGA
This 519-nucleotide ribosomal RNA is filed under the name uncultured bacterium. RNAcentral describes it as "bacterial SSU rRNA". It matches the Rfam family "Bacterial small subunit ribosomal RNA", at positions 777 to 1297 of the family's 1533-position model. The record is from RNAcentral.